RNAcentral lists this long non-coding RNA (1762 nucleotides) under Homo sapiens (human). RNAcentral describes it as "HSALNT0113626". Lineage: Eukaryota; Metazoa; Chordata; Mammalia; Primates; Hominidae. The record is from RNAcentral.
GCCUACGCCGCCGUUCCCAUGGCGACCGAUGCGUCCCGCGCUCUAGGCGAAGACCGCGGCCCCGUCCCCGCGCCUCCACCGCCUUCUUCCAGGAGGAGGGGCCGUGCGGCGCCUGCCCGGGGGCCCUCAGGCCGCAGGCGGGCGCGAGCUUCAGGGAACUUAGGGGGCUCCCGCCUCCCCGGCCACGCGAGCGGGAACAGUCUCCUCCACUCGGAGCGGCGCCAUCUUCAGCUCUGAGUCACCAGGGCUGGAAAAAUACUAGAUGCGCUACUCGUGGACUCGUGAAUACACUCGUGAAUACAGGCCAUUUCCUGUACCUACAGCCACCCGCUAUUAUAGAUCCAGACUCCUGUGCCUGACCACUGCCCAUGGCCAACUCUCUGCUGAUGACUGGACUUGACUACACAAGUUGUUGGCCAUCUUAAAACCACUCAAAGUUGACGGUCUCCUCUCCUGCCUCCUGCGGCUUCCAUUACCAUGGCAGAGACUGUGGUGUCUGAGGUGGUGUAGCGUACUGAAGCAAGGCUGUCUUGAAGAAGAGGAGACAACUCACAAUUCUACCACCUUUGUUGACCUCUUCUUCCCCCCAACUUAUUGCUGUAGAGGCUACCUGAGCUCAUUGUCCCUGGAGAUGGACCAAAUAGAAGAAUAAGCAGUGCCUGUGUGGUGAGCUUCAAGAGGCAUCUGUUCUCUGGGGAGUGGGUGGGUGGUAAAGCAAAGACGGGAGAUGUGUAUAUUAGCUAUCCAUUACUGUAUAAUUAAUUAUACACAAAACUAAACUAUACACUAAACUAAAACUUCACAGCUUAAAACAGGAAAUAUGUAUUAUCUCACACAAUUUCUGAGAGUCAGGAAUCUGAAAAUGGCUUAGCUAGUUUGGUUCUGGCUCAGGGUGACCUAUGGAGUUGCAGCCAAGAUGUCAUCUGGGACUACUAUCAUUGGAAGGCUCAGCUGGGGCUGGAGGCUACACUUCCAAGAUGGCUCACUUAUAGGGCUAUUGGUGGGAGGCUUCAGUUCCUCUCCACAUGAAACUUUCCUCAUGCCAUGGAACUGGCUUCCCUCAGAGUGAAAGACCCAAGAGAGAGACUAAGACAGAAGCUGCAAUGUUUUUAUGACCUAGUCUUGGAAGUGACUUACUGUCAUUUCUACUGUAUUUUAUUCAUUAGAAGCAAGUCAUUAAGUCCAGCCCACAUUCAAAGUAAGAGGAUUUAAGCUGAACCUCUUGAAAAAAUGGUAUCAAAGUAUUUACGGACAUUUUAAAAACUACCACAAUACAUAUAGGUGAACUUCACAAGGUGUAGACAUGGGCUGAGACAGAAUAUUGGAUAAUAUCUCAUUCUGCAAACAGCAGCCUCAUCUGUAAUAAAAUCCCAGCAUUCAGAAAUUAUCACGAUCAAGUAGGAAAAGGGCUUGUUGGAAAAAACUUAUCAAAGAUGUUACUUCAUUUAUCCAUUUAUUCUGAGCCAUAGCAUAAUAGCGACAAAUUGUGUGUCCUGUGUAAUUUGGAUACCUCUGCUCAAUAAUAGCUGAACAGAUUUUAUCCUAUUUUUAGAAUAGUUAAUAUAUACACAUGGCACAAAAUUUAAAAGGUAUAAAAGUUUCUGGUUCAAAAAUAAGAUUCCCUCAUUUUCUUUUUUUCUGAUUCUUUGAAUGCAAUUCGAUUUACUGAUUUCUCAUGUAGCCUUAGAAAGUAUUCUAUGUACUUACAAACAUAUAUGUACACAUAUUUUUUCUUUCCCACAAAUAAAAUACUGUAUGCAUU